GAUGAACGCUGGCGGCGUGCUUAACACAUGCAAGUCGAACGAGAAGUGAAGACGGAAACCUUCGGGCGGAAGGCUUUAUUUCGAGUGGCGGACGGGUGAGUAACGCGUGGGUAACCUGCCUCAUACAGGGGGAUAACAGUUGGAAACGACUGUUAAUACCGCAUAAGACCACAGCACCGCAUGGUGCGGGGGUAAAAACUCCGGUGGGAUGGAAGGGACUCGCGGUGGAUUAGCCAGCUGGGGGGGUAACGGCCCACCAAAGCGACGAUCGAAAGCCGAACUGAGAGGAUGACCCGCCACAUUGAGACUGAGACACAGCCCGAACUCCUACGGGAAGCAGCAGUGGGGGAUAUUGCACAAUGGGGGGAGCGCUGAUGCAGCGACGCCGCGUGAGUGAAGAAGUAUUUCGGUAUGUAAAGCUCUAUAAGCAGGGAAGAAAAUGACGGUACCUGAGUAAGAAGCCCCGGCUAACUACGUG
This 478-nucleotide ribosomal RNA is filed under the name uncultured bacterium. Its description in RNAcentral is "partial 16S ribosomal RNA". It matches the Rfam family "Bacterial small subunit ribosomal RNA", at positions 28 to 507 of the family's 1533-position model. The record is from RNAcentral.